RNAcentral lists this long non-coding RNA (722 nucleotides) under Erythranthe guttata (spotted monkey flower). RNAcentral's name for it is "long non-coding RNA (EGUT_LNC003131)". Lineage: Eukaryota; Viridiplantae; Streptophyta; Magnoliopsida; Lamiales; Phrymaceae. The record is from RNAcentral.
CUAUUUGGAACAAAAAAGUUGACGAAAGGAAAAAAAAUUGUAGCAAUAAAGCUAUAUAUGGUUUAAGAAACUUUUUCAAUCUCUGGAUGAGUUAACUGUUGAGCAGAUUAAAUGAGCCUGAAAGACAUUGGCAUUGCCCAGCUUGCAAGAGAGGUCUUGGAGCUAUUGAUUGGUAUCAUAUAUCCUGCUGUGAAGGCUUAGCUUUCAUUGGAAUCACAAGGACAUCGAGGUAUGAGUGUAUUGAUUUUGGCGUGCGCCCUCUUUCCAAGAUUUAUUCAGAUGAAGUUAGAGCCCGGCCGUACAAGAAAGAUCACCCGCUUCUAUUCUGGUCAGUAUCAAUACAAAAAUCUAAACAAAUUAUAGACUAGUUACAAUAUCUUAUCAAGAAACAUAGGCCUUCAAUAAUUGAUAAAUCUUGUUACACCACAACUAACCUCAAAUAAAUAUGAGAAGCUCGAUUCGCAGUGGUAGAAGAUACAGUCCAUACUAUAUAGAUGGACAAGGCAAAGGACUGCAAGAUUAUAUGGAAGAUAUUGAAAUUGAUGAGAUCUCAAUAAAUAAUCAUCUUAAGGCCAAGAACGCGCUCAGACUAUUCUUGUCGAUUAUUUAAAAGAUCUCAUUAAUCCAUAUUGGAAAGAAGAUAAGAUCACUAGAGAUGUGUAGAAGAUGAACGGCCCGGAAAAUCGACCUAUACAUAUGAAAUCUUCACAUUCUAAGAGAUC